Long non-coding RNA from Physella acuta, 351 nucleotides. RefSeq lists it as uncharacterized. Lineage: Eukaryota; Metazoa; Mollusca; Gastropoda; Physidae. The record is from RefSeq and is a predicted model, not a curated record.
GCAGCAUGUUGCGAGCUAUACUAUUGAUCUUUUGUCUUACCUACCCGGUCAGUUCGACGGAAAACUAUGUCUUUGGGGGAUGUAUUAGUUUAAAUACGUUUUGUGACAAAACAAAUUGUCCAAAUUGUCCAGACAAUACAUAUGGUGUUGAGUGUUGGGACAAAGUUCCAGAUUGUUCCGAUCAAACCAAGCGAUGCCAGUGUUAUACUGAUUAAGGUUCAAGAAGUUCAACCAAGCCAGAGUGAGGAGAGAACGGCAUUAACCUAGAUAAAAACAUAUUAAAUUCCAAAAUGAACUGCAUCAUCGCGUGAUGUAGCGAACUCGCUUGAAAAUUAAAACAUAAAUAACCUA